AUCUCAUGGUUAGGAUAUUUCAAGAGUUUUUCCUUGAAUCUUUCCCAUGCUUCAUACCACGGUUCUUCAUGGAAUUGGCGAAAAUUAAUGAUUUAAUCUCGCAAUU
Non-coding RNA from Capsicum annuum, 106 nucleotides. The record is from Rfam. NCBI's taxonomy places the organism in Eukaryota, Viridiplantae, Streptophyta, Magnoliopsida, Solanales, Solanaceae.